This 513-nucleotide ribosomal RNA is filed under the name uncultured Brachybacterium sp. RNAcentral describes it as "bacterial SSU rRNA". It matches the Rfam family "Bacterial small subunit ribosomal RNA", at positions 1 to 526 of the family's 1533-position model. The record is from RNAcentral. Lineage: Bacteria; Bacillati; Actinomycetota; Actinomycetes; Micrococcales; Dermabacteraceae.
CGACUUAGAGUUUGAUCCUGGCUCAGGACGAACGCUGGCGGCMUKYUUAACACAUGCAAGUCGAACGAUGACGACCGUGCUUGAACGGUCUGAUUAGUGGCGAACGGGUGAGUAACACGUGAGUAACCUGCCCUCCACUUCGGGAUAACCUCGGGAAAUCGUGGCUAAUACCGGAUAUGAAUCCUUGUCGCAUGGCGGGGGUUGGAAAGAUUUAUCGGUGGGGGAUGGACUCGCGGCCUAUCAGUUUGUUGGUGAGGUAAUGGCUCACCAAGACGAUGACGGGUAGCCGGCCUGAGAGGGCGACCGGCCACACUGGGACUGAGACACGGCCCAGACUCCUACGGGAGGCAGCAGUGGGGAAUAUUGCACAAUGGGCGAAAGCCUGAUGCAGCGACGCCGCGUGAGGGAUGACGGCCUUCGGGUUGUAAACCUCUUUCAGCAGGGAAGAAGCGAAAGUGACGGUACCUGCAGAAGAAGCGCCGGCUAACUACGUGCCAGCAGCCGCGGUAAUAC